RNA transcript from Osmia bicornis bicornis, 881 nucleotides. It is a transcript of the gene named FAD-linked sulfhydryl oxidase ALR, with no coding region annotated. The transcript has 3 exons. The record is from RefSeq and is a predicted model, not a curated record. Lineage: Eukaryota; Metazoa; Arthropoda; Insecta; Hymenoptera; Megachilidae.
AUAUCUGUUUUACGUAUUGAUACGUAUUCAAAGAAAAAUUGCUUGGUAUAUGAAGGAAAAGGAUAGCGAAUUUCCGUAACACAACUGAUCCAAUAAAUAAUUCUUACCCCAUACAAAUUUGAUACAAUGCAUAAUAUUUAUACAUAUAUUCGCAAAUUAUAAUAUUGCAAAACAGGUUACAAUCCACGUGGACUCAUUAUUACUUAUAUAUAACAGUUCUUAAAGGUUCUUACGAAUGAAUACAGUGUUUAUGAUAACAGAAUGUCUCACGAGAAACCUUGUCGUGCAUGUACAGACUUUAAGACAUGGGCAAAAAGUCAAAAGAAAACUUAUGAAUCCACAAAGGAAUCUGAGGAAAGUAAAAAGAAAGAUCAAGCUGUAAAUAAUACUAGACGUGAUUGCCCAUUGGAUAAGGACGAAUUAGGUUCAAGAACAUGGUCAUUUCUACAUACCAUGGCAGCAUAUUAUCCUGAUAAUCCAAGUGAUGAACAGAAAUCAGAUAUGAAAACAUUUUUUAAAAUAUUUUCUAAGUUUUAUCCAUGCUAUGUAUGUGCAGAAGAUUUACAAGAGCAAAUAAAACAGUAUCCACCUCAAACAGAUUCGCAGGAAAAGUUAAGUCAAUGGCUUUGUAACAUUCAUAACGGGGUAAACAAAAGGCUUGGGAAACCUCUGUUUGAUUGCAAACUUGUUAACCAAAGGUGGAAAGAUGGUUGGCUGGAUGGUUCAUGUGAUUGAUAAUCGUUAUGGUUUUAAAUUCUCAGAUAAAUCCUACACGUGAUAUAAAAAAUUAUAGUAUGCUUAUUAUUAAGAUUGCAAAGUAGGUGGAGGUAGAUGGGAUAUAGUGAACGCAGAACCUGCUGUUCUAACACGAGGUUCAUAAC